This 493-nucleotide ribosomal RNA is filed under the name uncultured bacterium. RNAcentral describes it as "partial 16S ribosomal RNA". It matches the Rfam family "Bacterial small subunit ribosomal RNA", at positions 29 to 523 of the family's 1533-position model. The record is from RNAcentral.
AUUGAACGCUGGCGGCAUGCUUUACACAUGCAAGUCGAACGGUAACAGGUUAAGCUGACGAGUGGCGAACGGGUGAGUAAUGCAUCGGAACGUGCCCGAUCGUGGGGGAUAACGCAGCGAAAGCUGCGCUAAUACCGCAUACGAUCUGAGGAUGAAAGCGGGGGACCGUAAGGCCUCGCGCGAUCGGAGCGGCCGAUGUCAGAUUAGGUAGUUGGUGGGGUAAAGGCUCACCAAGCCAACGAUCUGUAGCUGGUCUGAGAGGACGACCAGCCACACUGGGACUGAGACACGGCCCAGACUCCUACGGGAGGCAGCAGUGGGGAAUUUUGGACAAUGGGCGAAAGCCUGAUCCAGCAAUGCCGCGUGCAGGAAGAAGGCCUUCGGGUUGUAAACUGCUUUUGUACGGAGCGAAAAGGUCUCCUCUAAUACAGGGGGCUCAUGACGGUACCGUAAGAAUAAGCACCGGCUAACUACGUGCCAGCAGCCGCCGCCG